Molecule: ribosomal RNA, 203 nt
Filed under: Clostridioides difficile
Lineage: Bacteria; Bacillati; Bacillota; Clostridia; Peptostreptococcales; Peptostreptococcaceae
Description: partial 23S ribosomal RNA
Rfam family: Bacterial large subunit ribosomal RNA
Source: RNAcentral
CAGCCACUCAUUCAAAGAGUGCGUAAUAGCUCACUGGUCGAGUGAUCCUGCGCCGAAGAUUUCCGGGGCUAAAACGUACUACCGAAGCUACGGCAUCAGUAAUGAUGGGUAGGGGAGCUUCCCAUACAGGUUGAAGCAUGACCGUAAGGACAUGUGGACAGUAUGGGAGUGAGAAUGUUGGCAUGAGUAGCGAGAUGUGGGUG